AUACUUACCUGGACGGGGUCAAUGGAUGAUCAAAAAGGUCCAUGGCCUAGGUUAGUGACCUCCAUUGCACUUUGGAGGGGUGCUCGCCUAAGAUCUCCCCAAUGAGGGAGAGUCUACGUCAUAAUUUGUGUUAGCGGGGGUACGCGUCCGCGCGGCCCCUGA
This 162-nucleotide small nuclear RNA is filed under the name Macleaya cordata. RNAcentral describes it as "U1 spliceosomal RNA". It matches the Rfam family "U1 spliceosomal RNA". From Rfam's summary of the family: U1 is a small nuclear RNA (snRNA) component of the spliceosome (involved in pre-mRNA splicing). Its 5' end forms complementary base pairs with the 5' splice junction, thus defining the 5' donor site of an intron. Lineage: Eukaryota; Viridiplantae; Streptophyta; Magnoliopsida; Ranunculales; Papaveraceae. The record is from Rfam by way of RNAcentral.